GUUGGGUCCUUCCCUUGGUUUGUGAAGGACUGGAGGGUUGGGUCCUCCUCUAGGUUAGUGAAGAAGUGGAGGGUUGGGUCCUCCUCUACAUUAGUGAAAGAGUGGAGGGUUGUGUCCUCCUCUAGAUUAGUGAAGGAUCGGAUGUUUGGGUCCUCCUCUAGAUUAGUGAAAAGGUGAAGGGUUCGGUCCUCCUCUAGAUUAGUGAAGGAUUGGAGGGUUCUGUCCUCCUCUAGAUUAGUGAAGGAGUGGAGGGUUCGGUCCUCCUCUAGAUUAGUGAAGGAAUGGAGGGUUGGGUCCUCCUCUAGUUUAGUGAAGGGUUGCAUUGUCCCCUAGAUUAGUGAAGGAGAGGAGGGUUGGGUACUCCUGUAGAUUAGUGAAGGUUUCAGUCCUCCCCUAGUUUAGUGAAGGCCUGGGUCCUCCCCUAGAUUAGUGAAGGAUUGGAGGGUUUGGCCCUUCACUCGGUUAGUGAAGGAGUAGAGGGUUGGGUCCUCCUCUAGGUUAGUGAAGGAGUAGAGGGUUGGGUCCUCCUCUAGGUUAGUGAAGGAGUGGAGGGUUGGGUCCUCCUCUAGUUUAGUGAAGGAGUGGAGGGUUGGGUCCUCCUCUAGUUUAGUGAAGGAGUGCAGGGUUGGGUCCUUCUCUAGGUUAGUGAAGGGUUGGGUCCUUCCCUAGGUUAGUGAAGGAUUGGAGGGUUGGGUCCUUCCCUAGGUUAGUGAAGGUUUGGGUCCUUCCCUUGGUUAGUGAAGGAGUGGAGGGUUGGGUUCUCCUCUAGUUUAGUGAAGGAGUGCAGGGUUCGGUCCUCUAGGAUAGUGAAGGAGUGGAGGGUUGGGUCCUCCUCUGGGUUAGUGAAGGAGUGGAGGGUCAGGUCCUCCUCUAGAUUAUUUAAGGAGUGGAGGGAUGGGUCCUCCUCUAUAUUAGUGAAAGAGUGGAGGGUUGGGUCCUUCCCUAGGUUAGUGAAGGAAUGGAGGGUUGGGUUCUCCUCUAGAUUAGUGAAGGAGUGGAGGGUUGGGUCCUCCUCUAGGUUAGUAAAGGAGUGGAGGGUUGGGUCCUUCCCUCGGUUAGUGAAGGAGUGAAUGGUUGGGUCUUCCUCUACCUUCGCGAAGGUGUGGAGGGUUUGGUCCUCCUCUAGGUUAGGGAAGGGUUGGGUCCUCCUCUACCUUCGCGAAGGUGUGGAGGGUUUGGUCCUCCUCUAGGUUAGUGAAGGAUUGGAGGGUUGGGUCCUCUAAAUUAGUGAAGGAGUGAAGGGUUGGGUUCUCCUCUAGAUUAGUGAAGGAGUGGAGGGUUGGGUCCUCCUCUAGGUUAGUGAAAGAGUGGAGGGUUGGGUCCUCCUCUAGGUUAGUGAAAGAGUGGAGGGUUGGGUCCUCCUCUAGAUUAGUGAAGGACCGGAUGGUUAGGUCCUCCUCUAGAUUAGUGAAGGAUUGGAGGGUUGGGUCCUUCCCUUGGUUAGUGAAGGAGUGGAAGGUUGGGUCCUCCUCUAGAUUAGUGAAGGAGUGAAGGGUUGGGUCCUCCUCUAGAUUAGUGAAAGAGUGGAGGGUUGUGUCCUCCUCUAGAUUAGUGAAGGAUCGGAUGGUUAGGUCCUCCUCUAGAUUAGUGAAAAGGUGAAGGGUUCAGUCCUCCUCUAGAAUAGUGAAGGAUUGGAGGGUUCGGUCCUCCUCUAAAUUAGUGAAGGAGUGAAGGGUUGGGUCCUCCUCUAGAUUAGUGAAGGAGUGAAGGGUUGGAUCCUCCUCUAGGUUACUGAAGGACCGGAGGGUUUGGUCCUCCUCUAGAUUAGUGAAAGAGGGGAGGGUUCGGUCCUCGUCUAGAUUAGUGAAGGACUGAAAGAUUGGGUCCUCCCCUAAGGUUAGUGAAUGAGUGAAGGGUUGGGUCCUCCCCUCGGUUAGUGAAGGAGUGAAGGGUUGGGUCCUCCUCUAGAUUAGUGAAGGAUUGGAGGGUUGGGUCCUCUAAAUUAGUGAAGGAGUGAAGGGUUGGGUCCUCCUCUAGAUUAGUGAAGGAUUGGAUACUCCUCUAGGUUAGUGAAGGAGUGGAGGGUUGGGUCCUCCUCUAGAUUAGUGAAGGAGUGGAGGGUUGGGUCCUCCUCUAGAUUAGUGAAGGAGUGGAGGGUUGGGUCCUCCUCUAGGUUAGUGAAGGAGUGGAGGGUUGGGUCCUCCUCUAGAUUAGUGAAGGAGUGAAGGGUUGGGUCCUCCCCUAUGUUAGUGAAGGAGUGGAGGGUUGGGUCUUCCUCUAAUUUAGUGAAGGAGUGGAGGGUUGGGUCCUCCUCUCAUUUAGUGAAGGAGUGGAGGUUUGGGUCCUCCACUAGGUUAGUGAAGGAGUGGAGGGUUGAGUCCUCCUCUAUAUUAGUGAAGGAGUGAAGGGUUGGG
Molecule: long non-coding RNA, 2354 nt
Organism: Oncorhynchus tshawytscha (Chinook salmon)
Lineage: Eukaryota; Metazoa; Chordata; Actinopteri; Salmoniformes; Salmonidae
Source: Ensembl